ACUCCUACGGGAGGCAGCAGUGGGGAAUAUUGCACAAUGGGCGAAAGCCUGAUGCAGCAACGCCGCGUGAGCGAUGAAGGCCUUCGGGUCGUAAAGCUCUGUCCUCAAGGAAGAUAAUGACGGUACCUGA
This 130-nucleotide ribosomal RNA is filed under the name uncultured Clostridium sp. RNAcentral's name for it is "partial 16S ribosomal RNA". It matches the Rfam family "Bacterial small subunit ribosomal RNA", at positions 335 to 482 of the family's 1533-position model. Lineage: Bacteria; Bacillati; Bacillota; Clostridia; Eubacteriales; Clostridiaceae. The record is from RNAcentral.